This 686-nucleotide ribosomal RNA is filed under the name uncultured Bacteroidota bacterium. Its description in RNAcentral is "bacterial SSU rRNA". It matches the Rfam family "Bacterial small subunit ribosomal RNA", at positions 62 to 751 of the family's 1533-position model. The record is from RNAcentral. Lineage: Bacteria; Pseudomonadati; Bacteroidota.
UCGAGGGGUAUAGUAGCAAUACUAGUGACCGGCGCACGGGCGCGUAACGCGUAUGCAAUCUACCUUUUACAGAGGGAUAGCCCAGAGAAAUUUGGAUUAAUACCUCAUAGUAUAGUGAGUUGGCAUCAACACACUAUUAAAGUCACAACGGUAAAAGAUGAGCAUGCGUCCCAUUAGCUAGUUGGUAAGGUAACGGCUUACCAAGGCGACGAUGGGUAGGGGUCCUGAGAGGGAGAUCCCCCACACUGGUACUGAGACACGGACCAGACUCCUACGGGAGGCAGCAGUGAGGAAUAUUGGACAAUGGGCGCAAGCCUGAUCCAGCCAUGCCGCGUGCAGGAAGACGGUCCUAUGGAUUGUAAACUGCUUUUGUACAGGAAGAAACACUCCCUCGUGAGGGAGCUUGACGGUACUGUAAGAAUAAGGAUCGGCUAACUCCGUGCCAGCAGCCGCGGUAAUACGGAGGAUCCAAGCGUUAUCCGGAAUCAUUGGGUUUAAAGGGUCCGUAGGCGGUUUGGUAAGUCAGUGGUGAAAGCCCAUCGCUCAACGGUGGAACGGCCAUUGAUACUGCCAGACUUGAAUUAUUAGGAAGUAACUAGAAUAUGUAGUGUAGCGGUGAAAUGCUUAGAGAUUACAUGGAAUACCAAUUGCGAGGGCAGGUUACUACUAAUGGAUUGACGCUGAUG